This is a non-coding RNA of Oryzias latipes (Japanese medaka), 182 nucleotides long. The record is from RefSeq and is a predicted model, not a curated record. Lineage: Eukaryota; Metazoa; Chordata; Actinopteri; Beloniformes; Adrianichthyidae.
UUAACUUUCUAUGAAAUCCAUAAUCUUUAACCCAUUUAUCCAAAUACUUGAUUAAUGUCUGAUCCUGACUUUCCACAUACUUCCAAACUUUAUGAAAAGCUUUCUGGACCUGAUCAAUGUGCUUUCUUACUAUCUUUGUUAGAUUUUGCGAAUGAGUCCCACCCAUCUUUUUGAGGUUUUUG